AACGAACGCUGGCGGCAGGCCUAACACAUGCAAGUCGAGCGAACCCUUCGGGGUUAGCGGCGGACGGGUUAGUAACGCGUGGGAAUAUACCCUUUGGUACGGAAUAGCCUCGGGAAACUGAGAGUAAUACCGUAUGUGCCCUUCGGGGGAAAGAUUUAUCGCCAAAGGAUUAGCCCGCGUUGGAUUAGAUAGUUGGUGGGGUAAUGGCCUACCAAGUCUACGAUCCAUAGCUGGUUGAGAGGAUGAUCAGCAACACUGGGACUGAGACACGGCCCAGACUCCUACGGGAGGCAGCAGUGGGGAGUCUUAGACAAUGGGCGCAAGCCUGAUCUAGCCAUGCCGCGUGGACGAUGAAGGCCUUAGGGUUAGUAAAGUCCUUUCAGAUGGGAAGAUAAUGACGGUACCAUCAGAAGAAGCCCCGGCUAACUCCGUG
This 433-nucleotide ribosomal RNA is filed under the name uncultured bacterium. RNAcentral describes it as "bacterial SSU rRNA". It matches the Rfam family "Bacterial small subunit ribosomal RNA", at positions 29 to 507 of the family's 1533-position model. The record is from RNAcentral.